UCAGGGCCCUUGUGAAUUGAUGAAUAUGAAGACACUAAGAAAGCAGAAAUAGAACUGAGAAGAAUGAAAUAACUGUCUCUACCUUUCUCGAAUUGUCUAAUAUGGAAAGAAUGAAAGACAGCUAAUAAGCAACUCUCUGCAAGAAGACAUAUGGCUUAGAAUCUACUUGGAGAGAGUCAAACACAGAAUCCCUUUGAAUUUAAUGGCCAUUCCAGGUGAUUUGAACAGCCAAAUAAGAAACAGGUCCUCUUCAAUGUACAAUCUGCCAAGUAUGAAGUCUGAAUGACCAUCAUUAUUAUGUAUUUAAUGUGCAUAGAAAAUCUAUCUGCAACCUUCCAGAGUGUACCAGAAGUUUGGAAUGUACAUUAUUAUUGGCUCCAUCUCAAACCACUCAUAAAUCAAAGAAAAUAGCAGUUCCAGAGGAAUCAUCAUAGAGGCUUCUAGGCCCCCAUGCUGUGUGAACCUGGUGAGAAAGGGAAGUCUGCUCUCACUGGACACUGGAACUGUUUGUCUCUGUCUCUGCUGUACUUUCCCUGCCUCUACCUCACUUAGUAAAGAAAUCAUCUUUGCUUGAUAACUAAAACAACCAAUAAGGCUGAGAAAGGGGAAAACCCACAUCUGGAUUUAAAUACAAGGUAUUGGGCCAGCUGCUGGGGAUUAAACUUUGAACAAAACAGAUAGAAUCUAUGUCCUCAUGGGAGUGGCUAAUGGGAGAGUCGGAACAAAAAAAUAGCCAAGGAUAAUCCAGCAAAUGAUUUGGUGAAUGCUAUCAAAGAGAGAAAUACACAUGCUCUGGGAACACCAAGUAGGUACCUAAUACCUAACCUGUACCUGGGGGGCUGGAAAGGGCUUCUUGGAAGAGGCAGAGACUAAAAUGAAGAAUAAGCAUAAGUUAAGACAAAGCUGGGGUGGGGUCAGAAAGAGUGUGAUAGGCCAACGCAGCAACAUGAGCCAAGACUCAAAAAUAAGAGACAGUGUGGCACAUUUGAUGUAGGAAAGACAUUUAGCUGGGAUAGAAAGAAG
Molecule: long non-coding RNA, 1023 nt
Filed under: Homo sapiens (human)
Lineage: Eukaryota; Metazoa; Chordata; Mammalia; Primates; Hominidae
Description: non-protein coding LINC02541:61
Source: RNAcentral